UCCCUUGUGGCUCAGUGGGUAAAGAAUCUGCCUGCAAUGCAGGAGACCUGGGUUCAAUCCCUGGGUUGGGAA
RNAcentral lists this transfer RNA (72 nucleotides) under Bos taurus (domestic cattle). It matches the Rfam family "tRNA". From Rfam's summary of the family: Transfer RNA (tRNA) molecules are approximately 80 nucleotides in length. The record is from Rfam by way of RNAcentral. Lineage: Eukaryota; Metazoa; Chordata; Mammalia; Artiodactyla; Bovidae. RNAcentral also lists the same sequence under 5 other names.